AAAUUGAAGAGUUUGAUCAUGGCUCAGAUUGAACGCUGGCGGCAGGCCUAACACAUGCAAGUCGAACGGUAACAGGAAGCAGCUUGCUGCUUCGCUGACGAGUGGCGGACGGGUGAGUAAUGUCUGGGAAACUGCCUGAUGGAGGGGGAUAACUACUGGAAACGGUAGCUAAUACCGCAUAACGUCGCAAGACCAAAGAGGGGGACCUUCGGGCCUCUUGCCAUCGGAUGUGCCCAGAUGGGAUUAGCUAGUAGGUGGGGUAACGGCUCACCUAGGCGACGAUCCCUAGCUGGUCUGAGAGGAUGACCAGCCACACUGGAACUGAGACACGGUCCAGACUCCUACGGGAGGCAGCAGUGGGGAAUAUUGCACAAUGGGCGCAAGCCUGAUGCAGCCAUGCCGCGUGUAUGAAGAAGGCCUUCGGGUUGUAAAGUACUUUCAGCGGGGAGGAAGGCGAUAAGGUUAAUAACCUUGUCGAUUGACGUUACCCGCAGAAGAAGCACCGGCUAACUCCGUGCCAGCAGCCGCGGUAAUACGGAGGGUGCAAGCGUUAAUCGGAAUUACUGGGCGUAAAGCGCACGCAGGC
This 586-nucleotide ribosomal RNA is filed under the name Enterobacter cloacae complex sp. 2022EL-00787. RNAcentral's name for it is "bacterial SSU rRNA". It matches the Rfam family "Bacterial small subunit ribosomal RNA", at positions 1 to 576 of the family's 1533-position model. The record is from RNAcentral. Lineage: Bacteria; Pseudomonadati; Pseudomonadota; Gammaproteobacteria; Enterobacterales; Enterobacteriaceae.